AUGACCUGGGCUACACACGUGCUACAAUGGGCGGUACAAAGGGUCGCGAACCGCGAGGGGGAGCCAAUCCCAAAAAGCCGCUCUCAGUUCGGAUUGCAGGCUGCAACUCGCCUGCAUGAAGCCGGAAUCGCUAGUAAUCGCGGAUCAGCAUGCCGCGGUGAAUACGUUCCCGGGCCUU
This 178-nucleotide ribosomal RNA is filed under the name uncultured Anoxybacillus sp. RNAcentral's name for it is "partial 16S ribosomal RNA". It matches the Rfam family "Bacterial small subunit ribosomal RNA", at positions 1204 to 1382 of the family's 1533-position model. Lineage: Bacteria; Bacillati; Bacillota; Bacilli; Caryophanales; Anoxybacillaceae. The record is from RNAcentral.